GAUGAAGAACGUAGCGAAAUGCGAUAAGUAAUGUGAAUUGCAGAAUUCAGUGAAUCAUCGAAUCUUUGAACGCACAUUGCGCCCAUUAGCAUUCUAGUGGGCAUGCCUGUUCGAGCGUCAUUUCAACCCUUAAGCCCUGUUGCUUAGCGUUGGGAGCCUACAGUACUGUAGCUCCCCAAAGUCAGUGGCGGAGUCGGUUUCACACUCUAGACGUAGUAAUUUUUUCUCGUCUGUAGUUGAGCCGGUCCCCUGCCGUAAAACACCCAAUUUAUCAAGGUUGACCUCGGAUCAGGUAGGAAUACCCGCUGAACUUAAGCAUAUCAAUAAGCGGAGGA
RNAcentral lists this unclassified non-coding RNA (335 nucleotides) under soil metagenome. RNAcentral's name for it is "partial contains 5.8S ribosomal RNA, internal transcribed spacer 2, and large subunit ribosomal RNA". The stretch from base 1 to 120 matches the Rfam family "5.8S ribosomal RNA", at positions 35 to 154 of the family's 154-position model. The record is from RNAcentral.